Podarcis lilfordi (Lilford's wall lizard) is the source of this 69-nucleotide non-coding RNA. The record is from the annotation of a GenBank genome assembly. Lineage: Eukaryota; Metazoa; Chordata; Lepidosauria; Squamata; Lacertidae.
GUCAGCUCAGUUGGUUAGAGCCUGGUGCUGAUAAUGCCAAGGUUGCAGGUUUGACCCCCAUAUGGGGCA